GUCCUUUUGAUUAUAAUAUAAGGUCUAACCUGCCCACUGAAAAUUUAAAGGGCCGCAGUAUUUUAACUGUGCAAAGGUAGCAUAAUAAUUAGUUUCUUAAUUAGAAGCUGGUAUGAAUGGUUGAACGAGAAAUUAGCUGUCUCAAUUUAUAAAUUAAAAUUUUAUUUUUAAGUUAAAAAGCUUAAAUUAAUUUAAAAGACGAGAAGACCCUAUAGAGUUUUAUAGUUAAUAAAAUUUUAAUUUUAGGAUUUUUAAUAUUUUAAUAAUUAUUUUAUUGGGGUGAUAUAUAAAUUAAAAUAACUUUAUAUUUUUAAUAACAUAAAUUAAUGAUUUUUUGAUCCAUUUUUAAUGAUUAUAAGAAAAAAUUACCUUAGGGAUAACAGCGUAAUUUUUUUUUAGAGUUCUAAUCGAAAGAAAAGAUUGCGACCUCGAUGUUGGAUUAAAGUUAAUUUUUGGUGUAGAAGCUAUAAAAUUAGGUCUGUUCGACCUUUAAAACUUUACAUGAUCUGAGUUUAGACCGGCGUGAGCCAGGUUGGUUUCUAUCUUUAAAUAUUUUAAAUAUUUUAGUACGAAAGGACCAAGUAUUUUUAAAAUUUAAUUUUUAAUUGAAUAU
Molecule: ribosomal RNA, 613 nt
Filed under: Hydraena fosterorum
Lineage: Eukaryota; Metazoa; Arthropoda; Insecta; Coleoptera; Hydraenidae
Description: partial 16S ribosomal RNA
Rfam family: Bacterial large subunit ribosomal RNA
Source: RNAcentral